GAUGAACGCUGGCGGCGUGCCUAAUACAUGCAAGUCGAGCGAACAGACGAGGAGCUUGCUCCUCUGACGUUAGCGGCGGACGGGUGAGUAACACGUGGAUAACCUACCUAUAAGACUGGGAUAACUUCGGGAAACCGGAGCUAAUACCGGAUAAUAUAUUGAACCGCAUGGUUCAAUAGUGAAAGACGGUUUUGCUGUCACUUAUAGAUGGAUCCGCGCCGCAUUAGCUAGUUGGUAAGGUAACGGCUUACCAAGGCAACGAUGCGUAGCCGACCUGGGAGGGUGAUCGGGCACACUGGAACUGAGACACGGUCAAGACUCCUACGGGAGGCAGCAGUAGGGACUCUUCCGCAAUGGGCGAAAGCCUGACGGAGCAACGCCGCGUGAGUGAUGAAGGUCUGCGGAGCGUAAGACUCUGUUAUUAGGGAAGAACAAAUGUGUAAGUAACUAUGCACGUCUUGACGGUACCUAAUCAGAAGGCCACGGCUAACUCCGUG
This 497-nucleotide ribosomal RNA is filed under the name uncultured bacterium. RNAcentral's name for it is "partial 16S ribosomal RNA". It matches the Rfam family "Bacterial small subunit ribosomal RNA", at positions 28 to 507 of the family's 1533-position model. The record is from RNAcentral.